CGUUUGAUAGUCUGCCCAUGGGAAGCGGCGUUGAUGCUCGGGUCUUACGCAACAGGAGCCUGUGAAUCGUGUCAGGGUCGGAAGGCAGCAGCACUAAGCAGUCUACUUCUGUGUGUUGUGAGGGUGCCAGAGAGGAGUCGCGGAACAUGGUAACGUGUUGGGCG
Molecule: signal recognition particle RNA, 164 nt
Filed under: Clostridium sp.
Lineage: Bacteria; Bacillati; Bacillota; Clostridia; Eubacteriales; Clostridiaceae
Description: signal recognition particle sRNA large type
Rfam family: Bacterial large signal recognition particle RNA
About the family: The signal recognition particle (SRP) is a universally conserved ribonucleoprotein involved in the co-translational targeting of proteins to membranes.
Source: RNAcentral